UACGUAGGGUGCAAGCGUUGUCCGGAAUUAUUGGGCGUAAAGAGCUCGUAGGCGGUUUGUCGCGUCUGCUGUGAAAUCUGGGGGCUCAACCCCCAGCCUGCAGUGGGGUACGGGCAGACUAGAGUGCGGUAGGGGGAGAUUGGAAUUCCUGGUGUAGCGGUGGAAUGCGCAGAUAUCAGGAGGAACACCGAUGGCGAAGG
This 200-nucleotide ribosomal RNA is filed under the name uncultured bacterium. RNAcentral describes it as "partial 16S ribosomal RNA". It matches the Rfam family "Bacterial small subunit ribosomal RNA", at positions 524 to 721 of the family's 1533-position model. The record is from RNAcentral.